GUCCGUCAAUUUCUCUGGCUCACUGCUCAUGGUCGUCUCAUGACGCAGGAGUAUCGGCUGAGAUGUCAUCUCACAAAUUCCGCCCUCCGUCGUCGUUGAAAUGCGGCUAGCGAAACGGUCAUUCAUGUACUGCGCAACUGCCCCUCUACAAAAGCUGCUUGCAUGAGAUUGCUUGCUCAAUCCCAGGUUUUGGCUUUCUUUACUUUACCUCUGCGGGAGUAGCUCUUAACUUAUCUUCGACCAGAUCAUCGUGUCACUAACUCUAUCAGCUGGUCAAGAAUUUUCGGGGUCGGUUGCUGGCUAUUGUGGAAUUGACGGAACAAGGAACUAUUUCAAGAUGACUUCCAUUACCCGAUAGACGAAGGUUCGCAUAUUAUGGAUAUUGAUUGGGGAUUCCAUUCGGCAAAGUGUUGUGCAUCUCGGGCUGAUCCCAUUAGGGCGAGGUCAUGGCACCUUAUCAACUGGGAUGAUCAGGGCAACCGGUUCGGUGGCUUCAUGCAUAACAUUGGUUUUUCAUCCUCGGUAACGACAGAAUUGUGGGGAGUUCUCUUGGGACUCCAUCUCGCCUGGUCUCUGGUUUGCAGAAGAGUUAUUGUUGAGUUAGACUCUCUGUUAGUCCGGAAUUGGCUCGUUAGAGUGUCUUCCUGUGGGCCAUUUCAUUAUCUGCUAGUACAUGAGAUCGAGGGGCCACUACAAAAAGAUUCGGACGUCCAGAUUCAUAAUGUGUAUCGCGAUGGAAACUUUUGUGCGGAUUGGCUUACCCAAUGUGCCAUUCUUCGCCCUAUCGGCCUCCAUGUCCUUAAUUCCAUUCCUAAUGGUUUAGGUUCACUGCGGUUAGAAUAUAUUGUAGGGGUUAUCACGGCCCGUCUUUAUCCUUCUUAGUCUUUUAGGGCGUUAAUCCCGCUUUCCUACAAAAAAAAAGAAAAAGAAAAAGAAAAGAGAAAUGAAUUGAAGUCAUACAAUACAUAGUAAGUCUUAAAACGGUGUCUGUAAAUGGCUCCUUAGCUGGUUACUUCUCCCGUGGCAAAGGGGUAAGACGAAGUGAUCCGUCCCCUCUCCUUAUCUUUUUGUUCUUGCUAUGAAGUGUUUUAUCUUAUCUUUUGAUGCUGCUGUCUUGAAGUGUUUGGGUAUCAUCCGAGGUGCAAAAGGCUGAAGAAUACUCGUUUGUGCUUCACAGAUGAACUCUUUAUACUCUCGAAUGGUUCCUGCAACCCUAUACAUGAAAUUUUGAGAAUUUUGGAAAAAUUUCAUGAACUUCCAGAGCUUCGAUUGAAUCCAGAAAAAAUGAAGAUAUAUUGUGGAGGUGUUCAACUUACAUCAGGGAAGCGUUCCUCUCAGGAUUGCUCAGCAAGGACCGAUAAAAUCACGCAAAGAAUAAAGAGCUGGACUGCCAAGCAUCUCAAGACAUGAAGGAAGAGCAAAGGUGAAGUAGAGCAUUGUUUGCUUGCCCAAGCAUGGAAGCGGGCUGGGGAUUACGGACCUAGAAAGCUGGAAGAAAAUAUGGUUGUUAUUAAUGAAUGUAGGUUCUUUGUGGGUUGCUUGGUUGCAUGCCUAUUUGAUCAAGGGAAGAUGCUUUUGGGCUGUCGAAAUCCAAAGGGAUUACUCUUCAAGUCAGGCCCGUUGCUGAUUCAUUCAUGGUAAACAAGCUCAAUACAAAGAAUUGAAGUUAAUGCAGUUAUUUGGAAAGGCGAGAAGGCUGAGGCUUACAACGGGGAGCACCCAUUUUUGAGGGACCUACUUUGGUGUCACAUAAUCAAGAAUGGAGACCCAAAAUAAAUGGAGAUUCACUCCACGAUGAUUCUAAUUGGAGCUUGCCACAGCCGGGCCAGUCCUUGAUACCAAGGACCAUCCGGGCUCAUUUCCCCUCCUCACAAUCAGGAAAAAAAUGGGGACGUCUCGACUGCUUAUGUGGCAGCAGUCGGGAUGCCCAUUGUAGAUGGUCUUAAAAGUUUAUUUGUAAUAUCCCGAACUUUUCAAUAAAAACAUAUAAAUACAAUCAGUAACAUUUUUGAUACUACUUACACCAA
Non-coding RNA from Punica granatum (pomegranate), 2027 nucleotides. NCBI's taxonomy places the organism in Eukaryota, Viridiplantae, Streptophyta, Magnoliopsida, Myrtales, Lythraceae. The record is from RefSeq and is a predicted model, not a curated record.